GCCCAGAUGGGAUUAGCUUGUUGGUGAGGUAACGGCUCACCAAGGCGACGAUCCCUAGCUGGUCUGAGAGGAUGACCAGCCACACUGGAACUGAGACACGGUCCAGACUCCUACGGGAGGCAGCAGUGGGGAAUAUUGCACAAUGGGCGCAAGCCUGAUGCAGCCAUGCCGCGUGUAUGAAGAAGGCCUUCGGGUUGUAAAGUACUUUCAGCGGGGAGGAAGGUGUUGUGGUUAAUAACCGCAGCAAUUGACGUUACCCGCAGAAGAAGCACCGGCUAACUCCGUGCCAGCAGCCGCGGUAAUACGGAGGGUGCAAGCGUUAAUCGGAAUUACUGGGCGUAAAGCGCACGCAGGCGGUCUGUCAAGUCGGAUGUGAAAUCCCCGGGCUCAACCUGGGAACUGCAUUCGAAACUGGCAGGCUUGAGUCUUGUAGAGGGGGGUAGAAUUCCAGGUGUAGCGGUGAAAUGC
RNAcentral lists this ribosomal RNA (468 nucleotides) under Salmonella enterica. RNAcentral describes it as "partial 16S ribosomal RNA". It matches the Rfam family "Bacterial small subunit ribosomal RNA", at positions 229 to 689 of the family's 1533-position model. RNAcentral also lists the same sequence under 1 other name. The record is from RNAcentral. Lineage: Bacteria; Pseudomonadati; Pseudomonadota; Gammaproteobacteria; Enterobacterales; Enterobacteriaceae.